AUAAUAAUGCUACAAACACAAAGACUUUGUUCACUAAGAGCCGUAGUCCAGCUGGAAUAUUGCAAAAACACAAAGUUGUCCAGUGAGCUGUCAAAUGCAUUGAGUGCUGCUGAUGCAACCCAGAGCACUGGAUUCCCUACCUCCAACCCAGGUCCCACAGCCAUCGAUUGUCUCAAGAGAAGUUUACAGCCUUAUUUUGAGUCACCCCAGAAUACUUAAGCCGAACAUUUGCAAAUGCAGCUGGUCCCAGAGGUGGAAUGUUCCAAAAGCCCAUUUGGAGCCAAGUAUGUACGCUAUGAAGUCAGUCGUGACACCACUUUAUAGAGAACAGACAAUGAGUUUUGGAUCUUGUAAGUACCUUUCCUCCCUGCAAGUAAAUUCCCUUCCCCCAUUCUUUUGGAAACAUCUCUGUCUGUAUUGGAAACAGAGGAUGUAAUUUAUUUUUAUCAUCUUCCCUGUCAAACUGGCCAACAGCCACAGGGUUCUGCUUUCAGAUGUAGCAAGAGCCAGGAGAGCCACAAUGAAGACGCAUUCAUUUCAGUGGCUCCUCCUCUGUUUCCUUAUCUUAUUUUGAGGCUACCUACCGUGGUAUCUUAUCACUCUU
This is a long non-coding RNA of Cuculus canorus (common cuckoo), 604 nucleotides long. RefSeq lists it as uncharacterized. Lineage: Eukaryota; Metazoa; Chordata; Aves; Cuculiformes; Cuculidae. The transcript is spliced from 4 exons. The record is from RefSeq and is a predicted model, not a curated record.